This 280-nucleotide unclassified non-coding RNA is filed under the name Hapalopilus croceus. RNAcentral describes it as "partial contains 5.8S ribosomal RNA, internal transcribed spacer 2, and large subunit ribosomal RNA". Lineage: Eukaryota; Fungi; Basidiomycota; Agaricomycetes; Polyporales; Phanerochaetaceae. The record is from RNAcentral.
CGCACCUUGCGCUCCUUGGUAUUCCGAGGAGCAUGCCUGUUUGAGUGUCGUGAAGUUCUCAACGCUGGAAUGUUUUCGCGAACGUUUCAGAAGGUUGGAUUUGGGAUUUGCAGGUCCGAAAGGUCUGCUGUUCUUAAUUGCAUUAGCCGCAAUUGCACUUUGGCUGAUCGGUGUGAUAAACAUUUGACAUCGUUUGAACGGUCAAGGCGCGGUGGCUUCUAAAGACAACUAAUUUUUGACCUUUGACCUCAAAUCAGGUAGGAUUACCCGCUGAACUUAA